Molecule: ribosomal RNA, 208 nt
Filed under: uncultured bacterium
Lineage: Bacteria
Description: partial 16S ribosomal RNA
Rfam family: Bacterial small subunit ribosomal RNA
Source: RNAcentral
CGCGUAGGCGGACAUUUAAGUCGGGGGUGAAAGCCCGGGGCUCAACCUCGGAAUUGCCUUCGAUACUGGCUGUCUUGAGUGUGAGAGAGGUGUGUGGAACUCCGAGUGUAGAGGUGAAAUUCGUAGAUAUUCGGAAGAACACCAGUGGCGAAGGCGACACACUGGCUCACUACUGACGCUGAGGCGCGAAAGCGUGGGGAGCAAACAG